GACGAACGCUGGCGGCGUGCUUAACACAUGCAAGUCGAACGGAAAGGCCCUGCUUUUGUGGGGUGCUCGAGUGGCGAACGGGUGAGUAACACGUGAGUAACCUGCCCUUGACUUUGGGAUAACUUCAGGAAACUGGGGCUAAUACCGGAUAGGAGCUCCUGCUGCAUGGUGGGGGUUGGAAAGUUUCGGCGGUUGGGGAUGGUGUCGCGGCUUAUCAGCUUGUUGGUGGGGUAGUGGCUUACGAAGGCUUUGACGGGUAGCCGGCCUGGGAGGGUAACCGGGGUCAUUGGAGCUGAGAUACGGUCCAGACUCCUACGGGAGGGAGUAGUGGGGAAUAUUGCACGAUGAGUGGAGGCGUGAUACAGGAAGGCCGGGUGGGGGAUAACGGGCUUGGGGGUGUAAACCUCUUUAGCCUGUGACGACGGGGGAGUGACGGUAAUGGGUAAAGAAGCACCGGCGAACUACGUG
This 468-nucleotide ribosomal RNA is filed under the name uncultured bacterium. Its description in RNAcentral is "partial 16S ribosomal RNA". It matches the Rfam family "Bacterial small subunit ribosomal RNA", at positions 28 to 507 of the family's 1533-position model. The record is from RNAcentral.